This 117-nucleotide ribosomal RNA is filed under the name Deltaproteobacteria bacterium. The record is from RNAcentral. Lineage: Bacteria; Pseudomonadati; Myxococcota; Myxococcia.
UCCGGUGGCUAUUGCGUGGAGGACACACCCGAUCCCAUCCCGAACUCGGAAGUUAAGCUCCACAGCGCCGAUGGUACUGCACGGGAAGCUGUGUGGGAGAGUAGGUCGUUGCCGGGA